This 301-nucleotide ribosomal RNA is filed under the name uncultured bacterium. RNAcentral describes it as "partial 16S ribosomal RNA". It matches the Rfam family "Bacterial small subunit ribosomal RNA", at positions 509 to 807 of the family's 1533-position model. The record is from RNAcentral.
CAGUAGCCACGGGAAUACGAAGGGGGCUAGCAUUGUUCGGAUUUACUGGGCGUAAAGGGCGCGUAGGCGGACUGAUAAGUCAGGGGUGAGAUCCCAAGGCUCAACCUUGGAACUGCCUUUGAUACUGUUUGUCUUGAGUUCGAGAGAGGUAAGUGGAACUGCGAGUGUAGAGGUGAAAUUCGUAGAUAUUCGCAAGAACACCAGUGGCGAAGGCGGCUUACUGGCUCGAAACUGACGCUGAGGCGCGAAAGCGUGGGGAGCAAACAGGAUUAGAUACCCGGGUAGUCCCUGUCUCUUAUAC